GGGCGGUUAGCUCAGGGGGAGAGCGCUACCUUGACACGGUAGAGGUCACUGGUUCGAAACCAGUAUCGCCCACCA
This 75-nucleotide transfer RNA is filed under the name Eggerthella sp. CAG:1427. Its description in RNAcentral is "transfer RNA-Val(GAC)". It matches the Rfam family "tRNA". Rfam says of the family: Transfer RNA (tRNA) molecules are approximately 80 nucleotides in length. Their secondary structure includes four short double-helical elements and three loops (D, anti-codon, and T loops). Lineage: Bacteria; Bacillati; Actinomycetota; Coriobacteriia; Eggerthellales; Eggerthellaceae. The record is from RNAcentral. RNAcentral also lists the same sequence under 2 other names.